This 899-nucleotide ribosomal RNA is filed under the name uncultured Burkholderiales bacterium. RNAcentral describes it as "bacterial SSU rRNA". It matches the Rfam family "Bacterial small subunit ribosomal RNA", at positions 57 to 951 of the family's 1533-position model. The record is from RNAcentral. Lineage: Bacteria; Pseudomonadati; Pseudomonadota; Betaproteobacteria; Burkholderiales.
GCAGUCGAACGGCAGCACGGGUGCUUGCACCUGGUGGCGAGUGGCGAACGGGUGAGUAAUAUAUCGGAACGUGCCCUAGAGUGGGGGAUAACGUAGCGAAAGUUACGCUAAUACCGCAUACGAUCUACGGAUGAAAGUGGGGGAUCGCAAGACCUCAUGCUCCUGGAGCGGCCGAUAUCUGAUUAGCUAGUUGGUGGGGUAAAAGCCUACCAAGGCGACGAUCAGUAGCUGGUCUGAGAGGACGACCAGCCACACUGGGACUGAGACACGGCCCAGACUCCUACGGGAGGCAGCAGUGGGGAAUUUUGGACAAUGGGGGAAACCCUGAUCCAGCAAUGCCGCGUGUGUGAAGAAGGCCUUCGGGUUGUAAAGCACUUUUGUCAGGAACGAAACGGUGGGGGCUAAUACCUCCUGCUAAUGACGGUACCUGAAGAAUAAGCACCGGCUAACUACGUGCCAGCAGCCGCGGUAAUACGUAGGGUGCGAGCGUUAAUCGGAAUUACUGGGCGUAAAGCGUGCGCAGGCGGUUGUGCAAGACAGAUGUGAAAUCCCCGGGCUCAACCUGGGAAUUGCAUUUGUGACUGCACGGCUAGAGUGUGUCAGAGGGGGGUAGAAUUCCACGUGUAGCAGUGAAAUGCGUAGAUAUGUGGAGGAAUACCGAUGGCGAAGGCAGCCCCCUGGGAUAACACUGACGCUCAUGCACGAAAGCGUGGGGAGCAAACAGGAUUAGAUACCCUGGUAGUCCACGCCCUAAACGAUGUCUACUAGUUGUCGGGUCUUAAUUGACUUGGUAACGCAGCUAACGCGUGAAGUAGACCGCCUGGGGAGUACGGUCGCAAGAUUAAAACUCAAAGGAAUUGACGGGGACCCGCACAAGCGGUGGAUGAUGUGGAUUAAUU